AAUCAACGCUGGCGGCGUGCCUAACACAUGCAAGUCGAACGCGAAAGCCCUUUCGGGGGUAAGUAGAGUGGCGUCCGGGUGAGUAACACGUAGGUAAUCUACCUUCGGGUGGGGAAUAACUCGCCGAAAGGCGAGCUAAUACCGCAUAAUGCAGCGGCACCUAAUGGUGAUUAGUUGUUAAAGCGGGGGAUCGUAAGACCUCGCGCCUGAAGAGGAGCCUGCGGCAGAUUAGCUAGNGGUGAGGUAAUGGCUCACCAAGGCUUCGAUCUGUAGCUGGUCUGAGAGGACGGCCAGCCACACUGGCACUGACACACGGGCCAGACUCCUACGGGAGGCAGCAGUGGGGAAUUUUGGGCAAUGGGCGCAAGCCUGACCCAGCAACGCCGCGUGAGGGAGGAAAUCCUUCGGGAUGUAAACCUCACAAGCAAGGGAAGAGAGCUCAGGACCAAAUAAGUCCUGAGUCCGACGGUA
RNAcentral lists this ribosomal RNA (471 nucleotides) under uncultured bacterium. Its description in RNAcentral is "bacterial SSU rRNA". It matches the Rfam family "Bacterial small subunit ribosomal RNA", at positions 32 to 477 of the family's 1533-position model. The record is from RNAcentral.